GAUGAACGCUGGCGGCGUGCCUAAUACAUGCAAGUCGAGCGAACAGACGAGGAGCUUGCUCCUCUGACGUUAGCGGCGGACGGGUGAGUAACACGUGGAUAACCUACCUAUAAGACUGGGAUAACUUCGGGAAACCGGAGCUAAUACCGGAUAAUAUAUUGAACCGCAUGGUUCAAUAGUAAAAGACGGUUUUGCUGUCACUUAUAGAUGGAUCCGCGCCUCAUUAGCUAGUUGGUAAGGUAACGGCUUACCAAGGCAACGAUGCGUAGCCGACCUGAGAGGGGGAUCGGCCACACUGGAACUGAGACACGGCCCAGACUCCUACGGGAGGCAGCAGUAGGGAAUCUUCCGCAAUGGGCGAAAGCCUGACGGAGCAACGCCGCGUGAGUGAUGAAGGUCUUCGGAUCGUAAAACUCUGUUAUUAGGGAAGAACAAAUGUGUAAGUAACUAUGCACGUCUUGACGGUACCUAAUCAGAAAGCCACGGCUAACUACGUG
This 497-nucleotide ribosomal RNA is filed under the name uncultured bacterium. Its description in RNAcentral is "partial 16S ribosomal RNA". It matches the Rfam family "Bacterial small subunit ribosomal RNA", at positions 28 to 507 of the family's 1533-position model. The record is from RNAcentral.